RNAcentral lists this ribosomal RNA (325 nucleotides) under uncultured bacterium. RNAcentral's name for it is "bacterial SSU rRNA". It matches the Rfam family "Bacterial small subunit ribosomal RNA", at positions 28 to 334 of the family's 1533-position model. The record is from RNAcentral.
GACGAACGCUGGCGGCGUGCUUAACACAUGCAAGUCGAACGGAGUGCUCAUGACAGAGGUUUCGGCCAAUGGAUUGAGUUACUUAGUGGCGGACUGGUGAGUAACGCGUGAGGAACCUGCCUUUCAGAGGGGGACAACAGCUGGAAACGGCUGCUAAUACCGCAUGACGCAUGACCGGGGCAUCCCGGACAUGCCAAAGAUUUUAUCGCUGAAAGAUGGCCUCGCGUCUGAUUAGAUAGUUGGCGGGGUAACGGCCCACCAAACCGACGAUGGAUAGGGGUUCUGAGAGGAAGGUCCCCCACAUUGGUACUGAGACACGGACCAA